UGGCAUCACUGACUCAGUGGACAUGAGUUUGGGUGGACUCCGGGAGUUGGUGAUGGACAGGGAGGCCUGGCGUGCUGCAGUUCAUGGGGUCACGAAGAGUUGGACAUGACUGAGUGACUGAACUGAAACUGGAAUGUGGCUCAAGUUGUCAAGAACGCCGGGUCAACAGGCAGUUCCGCUAAGUCUCUUAGGAUCCAUCUCCCAUGAUUCAAGAAGUGUAACCUGCCCGCUGAGAAUCUCCCCUGGACAGGAAUUUGCCAGCCAUGGGAUGGGGCCAUCUUGGAAGUGGAUCCUUCAGCCUUAGUCCAGCUGACAUCUAGUGGAGCAGAGAUGAAUUGUCCCCACCGGGCUCUGGCCAAAUGAUAGAUUGGUGAGUAAAAUAAUGAAUUGUUUUAAAGUAGUUAGUUUUGAAGUGAUUUGUUAUAUAGAAAUAUAGAUAACUGAACUAUUUCCCUUGAAUAGGAGCUGGCUGGCCAAUAAAAUGUUGAAGAGGUGAUGUUUAGCUUAUACC
RNAcentral lists this long non-coding RNA (511 nucleotides) under Bos indicus x Bos taurus (hybrid cattle). RNAcentral describes it as "lncRNA (ENSBIXG00000000314.1)". The record is from RNAcentral. Lineage: Eukaryota; Metazoa; Chordata; Mammalia; Artiodactyla; Bovidae.